This 236-nucleotide unclassified non-coding RNA is filed under the name rhizosphere metagenome. RNAcentral's name for it is "partial ribosomal RNA internal transcribed spacer region". The record is from RNAcentral.
GUAGGUGAACCUGCGGAAGGAUCAUUACCAAAUCCAAAACUUUAUCAACACUAAACAUGUGAACCGUGAAUGGUCUGUUCUCCUUUCUUCUUUUUUCUUUUCUGAAAAAAGAGAGGAGAACAUUAUUUUUUCAACCCCUUUUCAACCUCAUCUACUUUAUACAUUUAUUUGCUGAAAGCAACCAAAAAAAAAACGAAAACAUGAGACAACUUUUAACGGUGGAUCUCUUGGCUCGU